UUAGGCUCAUUCUGGGGCCAUUUUGGGCUCAUUUAGGGUCACUUUUGGUCAAUAUUUGCCCAUUUUGGGCCCAUUUGGGGUCAUUUUUGGCCCAAUUAUGCCCAUUUUCAGCCCAUUUUUNNNNNNNNNNNNNNNNNNNNNNNNNUAUGGGGUUAUAUGGGGGGGAUAUGGGGUUAUAUGGGGUUAUAUGGGGCUAUAUGGGGGGUUAUAUGGGCUGUUAUGGGGUUAAAUGGGGCUAUAUGGGUCUAUAUGAUACUCUAUGUGUCUCUAUGGGUCUCUAUGUGUCCCUAUGGGUUUCUAUAGGGUCUCUAUGGGUCCCUAUGGGUUUCUAUGGGGUCCCUAUGUGUCUCUAUGGGGUUUCUAUGGGUCCCUAUGUGUCCCUAUGUGUCUCUAUGGGGUCCCUAUGUGUCUCUAUGGGGUCCCUAUGUGUCUCUAUGGGGUCCCUAUGUGUCUCUAUGGGGUCCCUAUGUGUCCCUAUGUGUCUCUAUGGGUUUCUAUGGGUCCCUAUGUGUUUCUAUGGGGUCCCUAUGUGUCUCUAUGGGUCCCUAUGGGGUCUCUAUGGGGUUUCUAUGGGUCUCUAUGUGUCUCUAUGGGUCUCUAUGUGUCCCUAUGUGUCUCUAUGGGUCCCUAUGGGGUCCCUAUGUGUCUCUAUGGGUCUCUAUAGGUCUCUAUGGGUCUCUAUGGGGUUUCUAUGGGGUCUCUAUGGGGUCUCUAUGGGUCCCUAUGGAUCCUUAUGGGUCUAUAUGGGUCACUAUCGGUCCCUAUGGGUUUCUAUGGGGUUUCUAUGGGUCUCUAUAGGUCUCUAUGGGGUCUCUAUGGGUCCCUAUGGGUCCCUAUGUGUCUCUAUGUGUCCCUAUGGGGUCCCUAUGGGUCCCUAUGGGUCUCUAUGUGUCCCUAUGUGUCUCUAUGGGGUCCCUAUGGGUCCCUAUGUGUCCCUAUGUGUCUCUAUGGGGUUUCUAUGGGGUCUCUAUGGGUCCCUAUAGGUCUCUAUGGGUCUCUAUGUGUCCGUAUGGGUCCCUAUUGGUCUCUAUGGGUCUCUAUGGGUCCCUAUGGGUCUCUAUGUGUCCCUAUGGGUCCCUAUCGGUCUCUAUGGGUCCCUAUGGGGUUUCUAUGGGGUUUCUAUGGGUCUCUAUGGGGUUUCUAUGGGGUCCCUAUAUGUCUCUAUGGUUCCCUAUGGGGUCUCUAUGGGUCCCUAUGGGGCAGCCCCCCACCUUAAUCCCAGCACUCCUGCAUUUCCCAACAGCAUCUGGCACAGCAGCACGAGGAGGGUCAAUCAUAGACAUGAGCCCCACGAAACACAAAUUGUCGGUGGCGAAAUUGACGUCGUCGCAAUCGAAAGCGAAACCUUUGGGGUAUUGAUCCUCGGGGAGGUAGAAGUGGCAAAAGCCUGUAAGAAGAAAAUGGGGAGGGGGGCGAGGUGAGACCCCUCCCCAUAUUAAACGCUAUAGGUUAAACUGCGCUACUGCAGCGCCAUCUAGUGGCCACUAAUGGAACUGCAGGUAUAUAGCGCCAUCUAGUGGCCAUUAAUGGAACUGCAG
Molecule: long non-coding RNA, 1538 nt
Filed under: Coturnix japonica (Japanese quail)
Lineage: Eukaryota; Metazoa; Chordata; Aves; Galliformes; Phasianidae
Description: lncRNA (ENSCJPG00005002455.1)
Source: RNAcentral